UUUAUGGAGAGUUUGAUCCUGGCUCAGGAUGAACGCUGGCGGCGUGCCUAAUACAUGCAAGUCGAGCGAACGGAUGAGAAGCUUGCUUCUCUGAUGUUAGCGGCGGACGGGUGAGUAACACGUGGAUAACCUACCUAUAAGACUGGGAUAACUUCGGGAAACCGGAGCUAAUACCGGAUAAUAUUUUGAACCGCAUGGUUCAAAAGUGAAAGACGGUCUUGCUGUCACUUAUAGAUGGAUCCGCGCUGCAU
This 251-nucleotide ribosomal RNA is filed under the name Staphylococcus aureus. Its description in RNAcentral is "partial 16S ribosomal RNA". It matches the Rfam family "Bacterial small subunit ribosomal RNA", at positions 1 to 241 of the family's 1533-position model. Lineage: Bacteria; Bacillati; Bacillota; Bacilli; Caryophanales; Staphylococcaceae. The record is from RNAcentral.